This 371-nucleotide ribosomal RNA is filed under the name uncultured bacterium. Its description in RNAcentral is "bacterial SSU rRNA". It matches the Rfam family "Bacterial small subunit ribosomal RNA", at positions 527 to 896 of the family's 1533-position model. The record is from RNAcentral.
GUAGGGUGCGAGCGUUAAUCGGAAUUACUGGGCGUAAAGUGUGCGCAGGCGGCCGAGCAAGUCGAGUGUGAAAUCCCCGGGCUUAACUUGGGAAUUGCGCUCGAAACUACUUGGCUCGAGUGUGGCAGAGGGGGGUGGAAUUCCACGUGUAGCGGUGAAAUGCGUAGAGAUGUGGAGGAACACCAAUGGCGAAGGCAGCCCCCUGGGCCAACACUGACGCUCAUGCACGAAAGCGUGGGGAGCAAACAGGAUUAGAUACCCUGGUAGUCCACGCCCUAAACGAUGAUGACUAGUUGUUGGGGGAGUUAAAUCCCUUAGUAACGCAGCUAACGCGCGAAGUCAUCCGCCUGGGGAGUACGGUCACAAGAUUA